Molecule: small nucleolar RNA, 138 nt
Organism: Tachyglossus aculeatus (Australian echidna)
Lineage: Eukaryota; Metazoa; Chordata; Mammalia; Monotremata; Tachyglossidae
Source: RefSeq, a predicted model, not a curated record
UACCACUCAGGAUCACACCUGGAGAGUUUCCAGUACUCUAUCAGUCUCGGCUAUGAGUGGGAGAGUCAAGCAGGGGCAGACCUAUUCCAUUCCUAGCUUGGGCAGUGGCUAAUGAGUGGGAGGCAAUCUACUACAAGU